GUGCAGUGGAUAUACUAAUAGCAAUGUAUAGUGAUGAGGGAGAGGUGCAAAGAGGUGCAAUUGCACUUUAUCUCGUCGAAUGAUACUGUGGAGGUGGUAAAUUUUGCCCUUCUGGUUUGCUUACUAAUUGUUUGAGUUUUUGCCUGAGUGAAACUUUUUUGUAUUUGAUGCGCUGCUGGGUGUUUGUGUUUGUUGCGUUCCUGCACUGCAAGCGCAAUGCGUGCUUUUUUUUUUUUUUUUUUUUAAAGUCCUAGCUCAAAACAACGUGGUUUCGGACCAAACAAAAAAAUAUAUAUAUAUAUAUGUAAACCUGAACGAAGCCUUACCCAACACGAAUCUGUAUAUAUCCUAUUAAUAAAGAGCGGAGGGGAGCCCGGCCCAAGCAAUUCAAUUCAAUUCAAAAUUGAAGAACAAACUCCGUUGUUGAAGUUGCGCUUGCAACUAUCAGAUUCAGACCCAAUCCUUCGCAAGGUCUGAGACUUUUUUGCUUAUGUUAUUGUUUUCUUCUUCUUUUUUUCUCUUCUAGGGUUUUUUUUUUCCUUCUUCUUUUUUUUUUUUUUAUAAUUUUUUUUUGGCUUUCUCUGUAUUCUUAUAAUCAGUAGCGAACUCGAGAGGGAAGAGCCUGAGCAGCGCAUGACUCGAUGUAUGAUCAAUUAUAAUUUGUUUAUUUAAUUGAUAAUUUGAUAUGCAUUUUGAUUAGGUUAAUUGAUAUUUAUUUUCGUUAGAUUAAUUGAUAUUAUUUUUUGUUAGUUUGAUAUGAAUUUUGGUAGAGUAAUUGUGUAAUUAACAUGAAUUUUGUUCAUAUUAAUUGAUAUACUAUAACCACUAUAGUCAAUUAGUUAUAGACCUAAAAUCUUUAUAAAUUUUGUUGUUGCUGAGCUUUUAGCAUUUUAAAAUUGCCCCUUCCUUGAAGAAUUCAUGGAUCCGCCACUGGUUGUAGUGGUGGAGAUGGGUGAAGAUUUGUUAGAAAACUAGUAGUUACAGUGUCAUGGAAGUUCAGGAAAAAUACUUGCCUCAUUUUCAUGGAAGUAGGAACUUCUAUUGUCUUGUCAUUCAAAGUUUGACACAUAUAUACAUAUUUUUUUUGUUGUUGUUGUAUUUUUUAUGAAAUAUUUUUGCAUUGUCAAAAUGUGAUUUGUAAGAAACGAGGGAUGUGUAGUGCCCAUUUUUAAAAUGACAUCACUAGCAAAACACAAAAAAAGAUCAAUGCGCAUGAUAUUGGUGUCCACAAAAGAGGUUUGUUUUUGGUGCCCAAUUUAGUUGUUGGGCACUAGAAGUGCCAAUACGAACUUUUUUUUAGAUGCCAAUAUUAAUAUAAAUCCCUUUCGUGGAUAUCAAUAUAAGAUGUUGAUAUUAUACCAUAUUUGUGGGAAUGAGAAGAAAAAAAAAGUUUUUUUCAUGACUAAUCAAUCUUCUACCUCAUUUCUUAAUUCAACAUACUUCUGAUUUUGACAAUAAAAUAUGUUCUGAAAUGGAAAUCAAGAAUGAAAGUAUGUUGCAAUUGAUUAAGUUUUGAGCUUGACCAUGGUCAAGGUGAGAAAGACUUCCAUGAAAUGAGAGUAGCACAAUGUUGUUAUCUCAGUCAAUAACUGUUAGUAUUGAUUUUGUGAUUGACAUUUUCUAGAAACAAAUUAGACUAAGUAUAGACAGUAAAUUAGUUAUGAUGGUGGCUGUCAAAAUUCCAACAUAUGCUCUGAAGGCUUAUAUGUCAACUAACGAUCACUAAGGUAAAUUCUUCAUUCAAUCAUGCAUCCUGAUUGUGGUAUUUCAAGCAUUAUUUCAAACUCACAAUCUGAUUAACUUUUUGAUUAGGAAGACUUUUUAUUUUAAGAAAGAUUAAUUAAUUUUAUAAAUUGCUUUCUAGUUUUGAACAUUAAAAGUCUUCUUUGAUUGGAAAUCAAUUAGUCUGAUUUUGAAAAAUUAAUCUAUUGAUUAGGAACUAAUUGAUCUUGUUUCCAGUUUUGAAAACCAUUAUAAAAAGUAAUGCUUGGUUUUCAUUCGUUCAACAACUUUCAACGACUAGAGUAUUUCUUGAGUUUUCAUAUACACAAAAGAAAGUUGUUGUGCUUUAUUUUCCAGAAAGAUAAAUCAUCAAGAGUAAGAUUAUCUUGGUGAUUUAUCUUUGUAUUCAUAUUGCAUUCAUUUGCAUGUUCGGUGACUCAUACGGUUGAGGGUACUAAGACAGUUAUGGCAAUUUUUCUUUGUUGAGCUUGAAUCGAUCGUGACCAGUAUCGGAUUCAACAUAAGGAGAGUUGGAAGAACUCCGACGAGCUUGAAGCAAUCAUGACCAGUAUUGUGUUCAACAUAAGGAGUGUGGAAAGAUCAUCCCGCGAGAAGUUAAGUUACGAAGAAGUUGGUACGUUGUCUAGAGUGUCUACGACAAGUUUGUAUACUUCUUGUAAUCAUCAUUUUAUAGUGGAUUUGCCUUGGACUAUCAGGUCCCGUGAAUUUUCCCCAGAGGUGGGGUUUUACCACGUAAAAUAACUUCUGUGUUUUUAUAUGUUUUUACGUUAUGUACUGUAGAGGAUUGAUACAUUGUAUCAAUCCCUUUGGCGUGUUUUUAUAUAUUAUGUAUUACUCUUGACUAUUCAAAACGCAGACUUUACUCUUUUAGUGUUUUAUGCCAUCCUAUAGGUAUUUUCAAUAACACUAUGACUCUCACACGUUUUGUAGUUGCUUCUUGUUGUUUUGUUUCUCAUCCAGAAAUAAAAUAUCAUGAUACUUCAUUAAUAUAAAGGAUAAUAGUCAAUAAGAUCGGAAGCCAUGUGGGAACCAAGCGAUUCAACUACUGCAAGGGGUUUAUAGCUCGACUCGAGUAGUUAUUUAUUUCUGUACCCGAAGUCAUGUGUUCAAAUCCCCUCCCGUGUUGAUUGUAUAAAAAACAAAACAAAAAACACUAUUUGUAAUGACACGUUGGAAAAUAAAACGUAGAGUAGAAGGCUUAACACGUUUUCUUCUUCUUUGGUAUUUACAGUUAUGGUAUUUUCCCCAUUUUUAUUACUGUAGAAUAUGUGCUCUUCUCUGAAUGAUGCUAUUGCCAGCUGAUGCUAUCAUUUGGCUAAUUUAAGAAUUUGGGAAAGUUGAGGGAAGGAGAGGUUGAACUACUUUGGAUUUGAAGACCUAAUAAUAGUAAUAGAAUAAUGAUGUCGUGGGAGUUUGAUUGGAGUGUUAAUAUGAGCAUCAUCAUACAUUAUACAUGUGUAGACAUAUGAGCAAUGAGCAUCAUCAUACAAAUACACAUGUAAAAGUCAUAAUGUAAGACUAGAUCAAACAAGUUUCAUGUAAUUAGUUAGUUAAUUAUGAACACUAGUUGUUUUUUCAUGCAUACCAUAAAAGUUAAAAGUCAUGAUGUAGGUUAAGAAGAUUAGAUCAACAUGUCUUUUUCUCAUACAUUAAAAAUUAAGUCAUCGAUUGUAUGAGUUAUGAAGACUAGAUCAAACAAGUACAUCAGCAUCUUUUCCUGGCUCGGAUAUGGCAAUAAUUUAUAACAAGUAUGUAUGAGUUGCAUAUGUUCGGUUUUAUCUUUUCCAAAUAUCGCUUGUAUAAAUUUUUUUAAGAAAAAAACAUGAUUCAAAAUACUUACCAUUGCUUUAAAAAAAAUAUAGAUUCAAUUUGAAAAAUCGGACCAUUAUACCGUGCUUUUGUUUCGUCAACUGUAUCCUACGCGUUUGGAUGAGUUUUAGAUGAUUAACUCUAUGUUCACAUUAGCAUAUUCGAGAAAAAUAGAUUGAUGGUUGGAUUCAUUCCAAUUGAGUGAUUUGCAUAUGAAAGGAUAAAAAAAAACGCAUGACGACAUUUGCCAUUUUCUUAAUUUUUAAAGAUGUUUGGUGCAUACUUGGGCUUAUCUAAGUUGGUUAGAGCGGAUGUACUCCUCACUCUGCACUCGAGUUCAAAUCUCUCUCCUCGUAUUUUAGAUUAGUUUGAAGUAGAAUAUCGUUUGUAUAUAAUUAUAAAUAAAUAAAAAGAUGUUUAGUAAUAAUAUUUCCCUUAGAAAAAAUCAGAGAAAAAAUCAACAUUUUUCGUUCAUACUAAUUUUUUCUUAUUUGUAGCCUACCAUUUUUCUUCUAGAAAAUGCUAGGGAGAUACAUCUUGUACACCACCUAUCUAAUAGAAGUGAGACCUAUUAUAUUGGGCUUCACCUAUCUUUUCCUUUUUGAUAUUGCUUGCCUCAUUCCUUGUAAGGAGAUACUCCUCCUUUCUGCAAAUCACAGUUUGACACAUGCAAAAAUAAUUCAUCAAAAACACAAAAAGAAAAACUUAUGCACACAUGUCACACUGUUAUUGGCAAGAAUAUAGGGGCUCCUGCUUACAUGGAAAGGAGGGAAGUAUUUUCCUUUCAUUUUUAGCUAAAACCCGAUAACUAGGAUCUAACUAAAGCAAAUGACCAAAUUAAGCUUAGCGUGUCAAAUAUUAUAUUUUCACAUUUCUAAAACACCCCUAAUUACAUUUUGUCGUGUUUUAUGGGUUAUAUUUUGUUUAGACAUUUAGAUUUAGGGACCCUUUCAACUUAAAUAGUCUAGAUACAAACCUACCUACUUUUUUUAUUUCUAACAAAAACCCAUGUAUUAUAAAUUACUUACAAUCCAUGCCAUAAAAUAUCCCACAGUGCAUUUACCAUUUGAAAUCCGUUAUUUUUAGCCCUUCCUUCCUUUCUAAUUUAAUGGGCAUUCAAUUUGAUAAGGGAUAACAACUUAAAAAGAAGCAAAUAAAUCAGUUUUGGCGAUAUAUAUUUUUCAUGAAUUUUGAGAUGUUUGGGACUGCUUCUAUAUGAAGUACUUCUACUCAUAAGUGCUUUUAGUAGGAGAACGUCGAAUCCAAGUGAAGAAGCACUUGACAUACGCUUCUUAGGAAAACGCUUUUAUUACCCACAAGCAUUUCUAAAUUUUUUGCUAACCACAGUCAGGAGCGCUUUUGGUUGUUAGAAAACACUUUCAACAAUUUUAGAAGAACUCCCGAACAUACCCUUAGUGUACCUAAAAACCAAAUUUGUAAAUUAAUUUCUGACAAAAUCAUAGGGAUCAAGAAUUGUAUUAAGCAAGCAAACUAUUAAACAAAACAAUAAUGCUACAGGAAUUAAUGUAACUUUCUCACCAACUGAUGUGGAGGAUAAUAUGACAGUCCACAUCACGUGGCAUGUCAUCAAAUUAAUUUAUUUCACUUUUUUUCUUUUCUUUAUAAAAAUAUAUAAAUCCUAGACUUCCUCCAUAACAUAAACUUUCAAAGCCGCCAUGGAUGAACGAUUUCCUAGGGGUGUUCAAGAUUCAAUUCAAUCCGCCUAAACUGAGUGAUUCAAUUCAUGUCUAAUUCAGUUUUAAUCGGUUUCGAUGAUUUAGAGGAUUGAAUUGGAUCCUUCAAUUCCAAAACCGACAUGAUUGGAUAUAUUAUAAUACAAUAACUUUUAUUGUGAGAAUCCAAUCAAGUCCAAUACUGUAACACCCCGACUCCAAAUUUAAUAUCUAUUUUAAUUGAUUUAAAGUGAAAUUACGAAUUUACCCUUGGGGUAGGGGUAAAUUGGUCAUUUUCUUAUCCAGAAGGAUUUUGGGACCACGACUGGUAUUUUUGGGUAGGUGGUACUGAGACGAAUUCGUAGACAAGCGGUAGGCUUGAAACGGAGUUGUAACGAAGAUUUGGCAAUCAAAACAUUAUCAGUGGCAAAACUGUAAUUAUUUCAAAAAGGAUUAGAGUAAAAAUCUGAUUUUUCAUUUUUACCUCACACUCUCUCUUUCUUCCGAUUCUCUCUCUCUUUCUCUCUCCCACGUCGUCGUCCUCCCCCUCCCCGUUACUGUUCACCGAGACGGAAACCACCGCACCGCCGCCACAUUCGACCACCCCAGCCCGUUCGACUUGUCGUGAAGCCCCGAACCAGAAUCACCCAGUCUCCUAGUCGGAAAACCUCGAGAAUCGCUGACGAUCUCGAUUGGUUCAAACCAGAGACUUUCUGUCAUCACGCCGCCGUCUCCGCCGCCCAAACUCGAUGAUUGAGGUGAGGUUUCUUCCUCUUUUUCCGAGUUCUAGCUGACUGAUGCAUAGGUUUGGAUCGAUUUGCUGGGUAGAAACUGAUUUUGUAAACCCAGGUUUUGGCCGAAUUUCAAAGUGAAAUUCCGGCCAGUUGUCAUCCGAAUUGGACUUCCCUAUGGUUGAAUGAAGUGAUCCUGACCUUGAUUAGAAGCUAGGAUAGGAAGGGUGAGCUCGGGUGUAGAGUUUUUCCGUCACCGGAAUUUACUCUACACACCCACGCACUACCGGCGCGUGUGGCAGCUCGGGUGCGAGGCUAGUGAAGUUGCAAUUUGGCCCGAUGAGAUCCUUAGGUUGUAAUAACCCAAAAUAAAAUAUCUAAAAAGAAAUAAAAUAUCUAAAAAGUAGGAUUAAUAUCUUCUAGCAAAAAAGACAAGUUUGCCCUCGCAUAUUUUAAUAGGAGAAAAAAAUUGACUUUUUGAUCGAGAAAGAAUUUGGAAAUUCCGUUUGCGCCAUUGCGUAGAUCACGACGAAACGAGUCCGCAGACACGAAGUAGACCCGAAUCGGAGUUGUAACGAAGAAAAUACGAUCAAAAUAACGCGAAAGGCAAAAUGGUAAUUGGGUCAAAAAGUCAGAUUUUUAUCCCUUCCUCCCCUUCUCUCUCCUCUACCUCUCUCCUCCCGAUUUCGCCCCAGCCCAUGACCCCCGUGCCUUCCUGACGUCGCACCGGCCACCACACUUGGAGCCGAUCUCCGAGACUGGUGCCAAACGAACCACCACUCGACCGCCGUCAUUUCUUGACCAGCCGCCGCCCUUUCCGUGGCCGGACCUCGCUGGACAACGCCAUUGUUGCCGAAUUUUCAGUUCAAACUUCCAGCUCAGUUUUCUCCUUCAAUUCUCCACCAAAUCGAUCGAGUAAGGUAUGGUUUCUCAGCUAUUUUUCGUGGUCUAACUGAUGGAUAUAUGGGUUUCGAUCGAUUUUGGCUCUAGAACGUUCGAUUUUCAACUUGAAAAUCGGCCGAAACUUCGGCCGCCGUGAUCUACUGUUUCUGGUCACUUUUUGGGGUAUGUUCAAGAACAAAAGUGACUCCAAAUGGGGUGUUUUACCUAGGAUAGGAGUUUGGAGUCUUGGUUCUGAGAUUUUUCGACCACCCGAAAUCGCUUAGGACACCCAAAUCUGCCUGCGCGAGGCGGCGUGUGGGCGAGGGUGGUGGAGUAACUCUGGGAAGUUUUGAGAUCCUCGUGUCGUUACAAGUGCGUAGGAUUUCGCGGAUCUCGAUUCGGAGUCCGUUUGAGCCCCGAACGAAUUUUCCAUAUCGCGCGAUCCUUGGGUGCAGUGUCGUCUAAUCGUCGGAUCGCACUGAAUUUUGGAUAUGUCGUACUACAUGAUUCCAGGAUCGUGUAGGAUUCAACGGAUUGCGAAUCGAAGUCCCGGACACUCCGAAAUCGCGAACCCUGGGGCUAGGGUUUGGAUUUUAAGCGAUAACGCGAUUUCGGCUAAUCCGACCGUCCGUUUCGGACCGAAUUCGCGGAACAUAGUUCCUUCUCUAUGAGGAAUCUUCAGAGAAGCCCAGAUUGGCCAUCGGAGAUCAUGGACCCCACGGGUCCCGGGUCGGCCGAUCUGGCAGUUGAUCGCUUAACUAAGCGUCGGGUCUUCCAAAACUGAUCUAAGAGUCUGAAAGGCUAAUGUGGGUAUAAGAGAAAUUUUUUUAACAAGUGCGCGUAUUUCUAGGAGCCAGGGGCAGGGUGUUUAAUUUAAAUUCUUUUUAUUCAGCAGUUUAUUAAUUUAUUAUUCAUGGUUAAUCAGGCACCAGAAGUCCAGUCGACCUACAGGAGGGACCUUCAAGAGGUCCAGCGAGCUCGGACCAACUGUGAGUGGACUUUCUUUCAUAAAUGAUUUUAUAUAAAUGAGUUAUAUAAAGCUUUUUAUAAAUGAGUUUAUAUGAGUAAAUUUCAUUAUUUGAUUUUGAAUAAGUUUUACCGAAUGUUUUCCGAGCAUGAUUUGUGCCGUAAAAAUAUCUUUAUUUCUAUGCUGCUUAGUUGAACAUGGUAGAACGUGACAGAAAGCAGAGUUGAGAGUUAUAUCAGAGAAAAUAGCAGCUUAGUUUCAGAUUUGCCAAAUACAGUGAAUUAUCAGAUUUUUCUAAAUUAGAACCACCAUGUACCCGCUUGUUUUUGGUGAUUACCCUCAGACGGACCGAUGUCUACGGACAUCCAGUCUGUUUACAGUUCUGUCAGUGCACUUGACAUUACCUCACGAGUUUCGGGGACGCUCGGACUGUGAGUGCCAGGAUUUGCGGCUCGGCUGACUCUGUGUCCCCGAGACCUGCCAGGAUUUACGGCUCGGCAGACUUGGUGUCCCGAGACCUGCCAGGAUUGCGGCUCGGCUGACUCUGUGUCCCCGAGACCUGCCAGGAUUGCGGAUCAGGCUGACUGCGGUCCCCUAUAUCUUGCCAGAGCGGCUCGAGUCGACUUGGUGUCAUCGGGACCUGCCGGCGGAUCAGGCUGACCAUAGUCCCCUGAUUUCGCCAGUUUGCGGCUCGGGUAGUCUGCGUGACGCCCGAGACCUGCCAGGGGAAUUGACGGAUUUUCAGGGGUACACUCAGGUGGUAGUUUUAAAGCAAUUUGAGCACUUUUAUGCAGCUAUUGUUUUUCAAUCAUCUUAUAUCAGUUUUCUCAAUAAACGUGCAUGUUUUAUCUCUUCAUAUAAUUGUUCAGCUUUACGAAUCUAUAUACAUACUGUUACAUAUUUAUAUUUAGAGGAAUACUUUAUAUUAAACACAGGUGAACUUUAGCUUUACUUAUCAAGUUAUUUUUACUAUGGAGGUUAUUAUGAUUGUAAACUGAUUUCAAGAACAUUAUUUUUGUCCACUCACAUUUUCAAACUUGUUUUUCGCCCCCAGGCCGUAGAAGUACGCAGGAUCCACCACCGGGCCAUUCAUAGCUUCCGCGCCACCAAGUAAGGUAGAGUUUUGUAGAAAAUGCUCUGAUAUCUAGUUUUAGUGGAAAACUGGAGCUGGUGAAUACUUAGUUAUUCUCUUCUGGCAGUUGGUGUAGAUUUAUUUGUUUGUUGGACAGGUGGAAAGAUCUGGGUUUGGUCAAAUUACAGGGGAGACUCUGCCGAAUUUUCGGCAGAAGUCUAAGGGAAAUUUUAAAAGAAUUUUGAACGAGAAGGGUAAGAAGGUCUUUUGUGCCCGACAUUCGCCAGGUGUCGGACACGCACAGGACUUGGCUCGAAUUUCAAAGCAAAAAUUGGGUCGGAACCUGUCAUAGGUUGUCACGAGUGCAUAGGAUUUCGCGGAUCUCAAUUCGGACGUCGUUUGACUAUCGAACGAAUUUUCACAUAUUGUGCGGUAUCCGGGUUCGAUAGGUUCUGACCAUUAGAUCUUUUUCCAAUUAAAAUAUGUUGAUCUAGGUAUUCCUAGGACCAUGUAGGAUUUCACGGAUUAUGAAUCGGAGCCCCGGAUGUUCCGAUUCAAUAAUGCAAAGUUGUGGGUUAGCGAUAACCGUACAAUCGUGAACGAUUCCUAAACCUGUAAUCGGACCUUAGGAUACCUCCUUCAACGUACACGUACUGGGAAUUUGGGGAUUUAAGUAUUUAAUUUGUGAUUUCCGCUUUGACGUAAUAUUAUAUUAAUAAAGGGUUCGUAUCUCGAAAUAAGUGUUUCGACUUCACGUACUCUGCAGGCAGGACCCUCUCGUGGUCAGGCAGCGCGGGAAUAUUUGUGAGUGGACUUUGUUUUCAAUCAUAUGCAUGGUUUUAUUGAUGAAAGAUUUAUGCAUAAUGUUUUAAUGGUUUAUUGAAUAUAUUAUAUUCUUGAGUUGAAUUUGAUGUUUGUAUACCGCUUUGGCAAUAUAUUGUGGGUUUGACAUAUUUGGGUAUCGAGAGUAUAUUUUAUAUGGAUUUUGGGGAAGUAUAUAUAUAUAUAUAUAUAUAUAUAUAUAUUCUCUAUAGGUGAGAUACUUGGGUUGUUGAAGUGAGUUGUGGAAGAACUUGAAUAUGAGGGGUUGUUGAGAGAAGUUGUAUGAUUACACUAUGUAAGUACCUUCCCCAGUUAUUAAACUUUCCACACGCGGCGUUGGAUGUUCCGGCGUGUGAGACACUUUCCAUAAGCGGCGUUGGAUGUUCUGGCGUAUAGAAAGACUCUGUAUAUUAUUUAGGGUCAUUACCCAUGACGUUGGAUGUUCCGGUGUGUGAUGAUCCAGUCUGCGCGCGUAGGACAUAGUUUGGGAGCUACACAUGGCUUUGGAUGUUCCGGUGUGUGAGCUUUGGAGUUUCGUCCCCCGGUUGGACCGCUCAUCCCUAGACGCAGGAUAGUACCUGAAAAUCCUGCGGGCUAGUCAAACGAUCUCUCAGUUGGAUUGUUUCCCCGGUACCUAGGUAGUGUGAUUAGUAUAUUGUAUAGCUAUGUAUAGUGUUAUAUAUAUAUAUUUAUAUGUAUAUUUAUAGUUGAGAGAGGGAAGAAAUUAGAGUUUUUCAGUGGUUUUGGCAGGAGUUGCAAGAUUGUCGGAAUGGGGAUUAUGGAUGAGAUGACUUAUGUUUUAAAGAAUUUUAAAUGAAAUAUGCUUUGAAUAAUUCAAUAAUGAAUUGUGAACCUGCAUGUCUUGAGCAUUAUUUUUACAUGGUGGGGUUACUAUAUUGUUUUAACUGCAAAUCUUGUUUUUGUCCACUCAUAUGUUUUCUGUUUUGCGCCCCCCAUUCAGUAAUCGCUCCAAGAAGCGUGCAAGUGGUGUACGAGGCUCGAACCGUGAAUUUUCCUAGUUAGGAUUUGAGUAAUUUCUUCUACUCAACUGUUCUUGUAAUCUAAAUUCAGUAGAUGCUCUGUUAUUGCCCAUGGUAGAUUUUACUUGUGAGGCCGGAGGGCAUUUAGUAUGUUUUGAUGGAUUAUGAAAGCAUGCUGCUGAUUGGGAUUAUUAUUUUAUGUAUGUUGUAGGUUGAAAUUUUUGUUGAGUUUGCUUAAUUUACAGUGGGGACUCUGCCAAAAUUUUGGUAGAGAGUCUCGGUUUUUAGUAAUUGGGCCCGGCAUCGGGAAGAUGUCGAAACAAAGACGGGAUUCGCCUCGGUUUCAGGGAAAUUCUGGAGUGGGUCCUGUCAAAUACAAUCCAAUGUAGUUAGUUUCAUGCAUAUUUUGGUCAUGUAGGAACGUAUAUGAACAUUUUAAGUAAUUUGAUGGAGUCAUGUUUAACAUAUUAUGAAAUCAAACCAAUUUUCUCUAGCAUUUCAUUUAUAUUUUAAAUUUAAGUCUAUUAAAAUGGUUGAUUAGAUUAAACUUGACGAUAAAUAUUUCAUAUUUUAUUAUUGUGUUUUUAUCCAAUCCAAUCAAACCUAUGAUCCAAUCGGAUUGGAUUGGGAAAAUCAUAAUCCAAUAAAUAUUAGUAUUGAACCAACGCACAACCCUACAGUUUCCAACUUGAACAGAUCGCAUGAUCAAUAAACUUAAUGCUCUGAUUGCCUACAAUGAGUUGAUGGCCGACGCAAGUCUAUUUUCCUUUCAUCUCAUAUUUAUUUUAAAUGUUAAAUUUAGUUUUCAGAUCUUCUUCAUAGAUUUGAAGACAAUUCUGGGUCGCACACAUGAUUAAUAUCCUUGAUGAUAUGAAACCCUGGCCAAUUCCUACAGGCGUUUAAAAAUUAAUGGAGUUUUUGAAUGUUUUAAACACAUAACCUCGAGUACAAAGUAACUUCUUUUAACCACUUGGGUUACAAGCCAUUUGCAUGAUAUUUGACAUUUUGAAUAGGCUUAAAAAGCUUAUAAAGUGUCAAAUUGCCGUUUAACCCAUUUGACAUUUCUCUUAGAGAUGCUUUAAGGAGAAAAUCCAACUUAGUAGUGUCUUUUUAAUGGAUAUGUUUCAGGGCGCUAUUUACUUGUUUAAGGCAGGUGUUUGGCCAAUUUAGGGCUCUUUUAUUUGUGGUUUUCAUUUUCUGAUUUUUUUUUUCUUGGCCUAGACUUUUGUCAGUGACGUAAUAGGAACGUUCUUGUACGGUAAUGCAAACAAAUUUCCACAUUUCCCAUUAUAUAUACACCCACCAUCAUCCCCUCAUCCCCUCAUACAUAUCCUUGGCAGCCAUAAUAAUUAGUACAAUUCUCUCCAAACCAAUAUGGCGUUGUGCAGGAUUAUUUCACUAUCCCUCGUUUGCAUUUUAAGCUCAGCCCUUCUCCAAUCCACUCAUGCCCAAGACACACCGCAAGACUACCUCCUUGCCCACAACAACGCUCGGGCGGCAGUUAAUGUCGGGCCGUUGUCAUGGGAUGAUGAUUUAGCAGCCUAUGCACAAGACUAUGCCAAUCAACACAUUGGCGACUACGUUCUUGUGCACUCUGAUGGACCCUAAGGCGAAAACUUUGCUGGGAGCACCGGUGACUUGUCGGGCACGUCUGCCGUGAACCUGUGGAUGGCGGAGGAGGCCGACUACGACUACGACUCUAACUCAUGUGCCGACGGCAAUGUGUGUGGGCAUUAUACGCAGGUCGUUUGGAGCAACUCAGCUCGUCUGGGGUGUGCAAAGGUGACGUGCAACAGUGGAGGUACCUUCAUCGGGUGCAACUAUGAUCCACCAGGCAACGUUGUUGGGCAGAAGCCUUACUAAAACCACUAUAUCCAAGCUUUCAUUUUCUCCAUAUCAGUAUUAUCUGAUGGAUAAAAAAACUAUGUUAUAAAGAAUAAAAUGAAAUAAGAAGUGACCGUCGAUCAAUUCCUUUUGCAUCUUAUCCACUGGCAUGGUGGAGGCUAAUAAACUUGGGUUGAUAUGAAGAAUGACUUGCUUAGACAUAUAUGAAUGCAUGCUGCGUCCAAAGUUUCUUGAUCCCCAUAUAAAUUUGUAUUAUUUUAUCCAUGAAAGAUUUAUUAAAGUUGUGAAAAUUAUAAAGGGUACAAGAACACUUCAAUAAAGAGUCGCGCCACGAAACAGAGAAGAAGACAAUCUGGAAACCUAAACUCACCUACAAUUAAGAUGUUUCAGGCAAAACCAUGACGUAUGGACGUAUACAUGGCUGUAUGUAUAGUUGUUAUGUUUAAAGACUCAAGCAGAACGUCACAGUUUAAUCUCUAUAAUUUUUAAGUUUAAGAACUUGAGCCAUACGGCACAUCUUGACUUCUUUCUUUCUUCCACGCUAGCCCUCCUCACUUGUUGCUCCGUUACUUGCACUUUAAAAAUUAUUAAACUAAUUAGUGUCCUCCUUGCCUUUUAUUCUCUGCUCUCACGCUCACCCAGUAGAAAAUUGAAAGUUAUCAUGUAAGUUGUGAAGCCUUGAUCAAACAAGCAUCAGCAUGUCUUUUUCUGGCUCCCAUUUGGUAUUAAUUUAUAACAUACUUGAUUUAAAAUACUUACCAAGUUGCUUAAAACAAAUGUAGAGUCGAUUUCAGACACCGGACGGACCACUAUGCUGUGCUUUUGUUUCUUCAACUGUUUGCCACGCGUUUGGAUGAGUUUUUAUUGAUGAUUCACUGUCUCCUCACAUUAACAAGGCUAGAAACAGAUGGACUCGUUCCAUUUGAGUGAUUUGCAUAUGAAAAGAUAAAAAGAAUGCAUGAUUACAUUAAUUCUGCAAUUUCCUAGUUUCUAAAGAUGUUUCGAAAAAGCCUUCUUGAAGCAUGAAGAAACCUUUGAAGACAAGAAAGAGAAGAUGCAAAGCUGGAGAGAUGCACUUAUUGCUGUAGCCAAUCUUGCUGGAUGGCGUUUGAAAGAUGGAGACGUAAACUAUUCUUCUUUUAACUAAUUCUUCCUGUUUGUACCAGAAAGUAUUUUUGCUUUUUCUUGUUCUAAAAAAUCAAUUGAAAAUAGAAAAGAAAAAGAAAUAUAACUGCAGACUCUUCCAUACACACACAUCAAUAACACAGAAUUUCAGAAACAAUAAUCUGGAGUGUACAUAUUAUUCAUUAUUAAUUACUAAUAGCUACCUUUAUGAGAAAAGUUCUAUAACCAUGGAAAGAAAUAGCUCUUCGUAAUUAAAUACUAGUACUUGUACUCAAACUAAUAAAAAGAUAAAACCUAUGAUCCAUUUUUAAUUUGAACUGUUUUGCUUUACCUCCUACAUAAAUGUUUCAUUUAUUUAUUUGCAGACCCGAAUCGGAAGUUGUUGAAGAUAUUGUAGGAAUGAGUUUCACUAGAUUAAACCAAACAAUUUUAAGUGAAUCCAAGGAUUUAGUUGCGAUAGAUUCUCGUAUAGAAGAACUGCUUUCUUUCUUAGAGAUAGGGUUGCUUGAUGUUCGUAUCAUAGGGAUUUGGGGGAUGAAGGGAAUUGGCAAGACAACUCUUGCAUGAGUAGUUGCUAAAAGAAUAUGUGCUCAGUUUGAAGUUACAGCUAUCUAGCCAUUGUUAGAGAGGCAACUGAAAAGCAAGAUCUAGAACAUUUACAAGAGCAACUUCUUUCAGACUUGCUGAAAAGCAAUGUAAAGAUACAAAAUAUUGAUAUGGAAGACAUAAUAGGGCAUAGACAACGUAAUAAAAAGGCUCUUAUUAUUGUUGAUGAUGUGGAUGAGGUUGAGCAAAUGGAAGCACUAUGUGAUCGGACUUGGUUUGGUCCAGGGAGUAGAAUCAUCAUAACAUCAACAGAUGAACAUGUGCUACGCAGAUAUGCAGACAAAAUAUAUCAGGUUAAGCUGUUAACUAAUGAUGAAGCUCUUCAGCUCUUUGGUUGGAAAGCCUUUCAAAACUUCAGGUUGAAGAAACUUUUCUCAAGCUAUCCAAGGACUUUUUAACAUAUGCUAAGGGCCUUCCAUUAGCUAUUAAAGUUCUGGGUUCAUUCCUCUGUAAUAGGCCACAAAAUGCAUGGUCAAGUGCAUUAGAUAGACUAAAAGAAAAUCCUGAGGAAAAAUUCAUUGAUGUCCUUAAAGUGAGUUUUGAUGGAUUAUCAUUAGAAACAGAAAAAAAAGUUUUUUUGGACAUUGCCUCUUUCUUUAAGGGAGAGAACAAAGAUCGUGUAAUAAGAAUAUUAGAAACUAGUUGUGGCUACCUUCCGGAAAUUGAUUUAGACAUUCUUAUGGAAAAAUCUCUAUUAACUCUAUUUGGAAGAAAUUUGUGGAUGCAUGAUUUGAUACAAGAAUUGGGUUGGAAAAUUGUUCGUCGAGAAUGUCGUAAGAGGCCUGGAGAACGUAGCAGGUUGUGGCUUUACAAGGAUAUCAUCCCUGUACUUGAAAAUAAUAAGGUAAGAAGUCAAAUGAGUACACACAGACUCUAAGAUUGUUAAAAUGUAUUUAUUAAAUCUUCUUUGUAUUUUGCAAUAACUUAUGCAGCAACUUAUUCUUGGCUGUUCUUUAUUAGGGAACCAGCGCAAUAGAAAGCAUAUUCCUCAAAUUGCCAAAAAAAGAGGAGGUUCUUGCACCAUACCAAAAAAAAAAAAGAGGUGAAUUUAAAUGUGAAUGCCUUCUCAAAGAUGGAAAAUUUAAGAUUGCUCAAGAUUUGGAAUGGGAACUUUCAUGGAAACAUUGAAUAUCUUUCUAAUGAGUUACAAUUUCUGGAAUGGCAUGAGCGUCCUUUAAAUUCUUUGCCAUCAGACUUUGAAUCAGACAAGCUUGUUGAACUCAACUUGUAUUCGAGCCGCAUUGAACAACUAUGGGAGGGAGAAAAGGUAAGAUCAUUAAUAUUAAUCUUAUGUAUGUAUUAUUAAAUAUAUGUUAUAAACUAGAAGUAGAUGCAGAGCUAUGCUUUCCAAUUAUGCAUUUUAAAAUUAUCUUAUUGAAAGAAAUUUAAACAAAUGUAAAUAUAUUAUAUUUGGCAGUCUUUUAUUUCAUAAUAGCUUAAUGUACAAGAAAUGACUAUCAGGAUCUGUUUUGGUUUCGCAUCAGUUGUAUUGCGGGUUUGGACUUCUUUACUCUUGCCUAUGUCCAUGUUUCUCUGUGGUUUGUUAGUUUUUUCCUCUGACCAAAAGAAAAGAAAAGGAAAUGACACUAUACUGCAAAUCUGUAGAGAGCCUUCCGCCUUUCAUUAGCUUGGAAUCUCUUAAAAGUCUCACUCUGUCCGCCUGUUCAAGCCUCAAGAAGUUUCCUGACAUUGAAGGAAAUAUGGAAAGCUUAUUGGAGCUUAAUCUAGAUGGGACUGCCAUAGAAGAUUUACCUCCAUCAUUUGGACUUUUGACUGGUCGGUCUUGUUUGAAUUUAGGAGACUGCAAAAACCUUUCGUGUCUUCCUAGUAGCAUUAAAUAUUUGACAUCUCUGAAAAGCCUUAUUCUAGCAGGUUGCUCAAAACUUGAUGGCAUACCUGAGAAUCUUAAUUGUUUUGAAUUUCUGGAGAUGCUUGAUCUAAGUGGAACUGCUUUAAGCCAAACGUCAUCCUUUGCAGGUAUAAACAAUCAUCGUCGAUCGUUCGACAUUAGGCUUUUAUUUUUGGUGGUGGGGUGGAAGGGGAUCAUUCAUGUAUGUUCCCAAGAAUUUUAUUGCUUGCCUAAUUUUAUGCCUACUUUAUUCUCAGGUUUAAGUUCUUUGAAAAAUCUAAACUUAAGUGACUGCAAUUUGAUAGAGGGAGCACUUCUUAAUGGUCUUGCAAGUUUAUACUCAGAAAUAUUAAAUUUACGUGGUAAUAAGUUUGUUCAGCUACCUGAAAGCUUAAACAUCUGGACGUGAGCAAUUGUGGUAGGCUUCAAUUGAUGCCUAAGGAGCUUCCAUCAAGUCUUCAACAUCUGAGUGCCCAGGAUUGCACAUCAUUAAUAGGCUCUCCAAAUGAGUUCAAAAUAUGAGCUUCACCUGUCUCAGGAACAACUACUUUCAAUUGCUUCAAUUCUUCCCAAAAUCUAGAACAUUCUACCUUUAAUUAUACGAAACUGUGGACUCCAUCAUCAUCUGUCCUGGGAAGUGCUGAACAGAGUCUGAUAUAUAAUUUUCAAAUGCCAACUGAAAUUCUUCGAAAAGACUUUGAACUCUCUCUCUCUCUCUGAUUCGCGCGCAUAUGCACAAAGGCAUUAAAAAAACAGAGCCUCUGUGCUUUUCAUAACUGAUAAUCCUUUUUCUUUCAUGUUCACAGUUAUUAGAUUAUAGGUCACGUCCCAUACAGGCUGUUUGUAAUCUUGAAGGUAUUAUUCCAGAAUGGUUCACCAUGUAGUUAGCGGGAAUUUCAUCAAACUCCAGCUAUCUCAAGAUUUGAAGGAUGAUAGGAACUGGAUGGGGGUUGUCCUAUGUGUUGAGUUUUCAGUCAAGGGGACUCAUGAAUCUGAAGUGGAACUAGAACUAAUGAAUCAGAUUGAUUCAAAUUCAGAAACUUUUCACUUAUAUCAUUGCACAUUGGGGACUGAGGAAUUUGCAAUGGAACCAGACCUCCUUACCUCUGCCCAAAUGUUUCGCAAGUUCAUUACAUUUAAACCUCGGGUUUUUUGUGUGUUGUAUGUACCUUGUCUGCACAUUUCAGAGACGUUAAAUAAAUCAGUUGUGUUGUGGGCUUCAUUUAGAAUCGCUAUACCAUGCGUAAAGGUCCAGAAGUGUGGGAUUCGUCUACUAUACAAGCAAGAUGUUCCAGGGUUGAUCGAAACAUUCAUGCAGUAUUUUGAUGGUUCAAAGUGCAAUCUAAUCGGAGAUUAUGAAGCUAUAUUGGAAUCUGGAUGGUUUAAACUACUGGACAAAUUUUGGAGAUGGUAGAAUUUAAUUUUCUAAGAAGUAUAUACAUUACUUCUUAAUUUAAACUUGUUCAUCAUUGAUGUGACAUAGUAUUCAUUCUUCUAUGACUUCGUCUUUGAAUUUUUCUCUUGUAUUUGGUAUAUUUGAUUGCAGGGGGAGAUCAGUUCCAACUUCUGAAGAAAGCUCUGUAAAUCUGCUUUCUUCAGAGCUGUAAAGCUGCAAAGUCAACGACCCUUGAGAGGUAGCAGAACUCAGGCCCUCACCGUGAACACCUGCAGUACCCGACUGGAAGUGAUGAAAGAUUCAUACAAUAACCUGUUUGUAUCCUUUUUGCUAGCUGCAGCGUGGAGAAAUAAAAUUCGGUGAUGAUCCAAAGUCAUACAGUCAUAAGCACAAGCAUCAAAUCUUGGUUUGGCAUUUGACAGGAGGCAAAGAAGAGUUUGUAUUUGUUUGUUUAACUUGUAUUUAAGUACCUCAAUUCUUGUGAAUAAGGAAAUCAAAAUGUUGCGUUAUGAAACAGCACGGAUAUAACAAUACCUUCUACUAAAUUAUAUUACUAAACUAUAUUGCUACCAUAGAUUGUUGCUGUUAGUUUAUUAUACUCUCUCUCUCUCUUCUAUUAAGUGGUAUUUGUUCUCUUAAUCAAGGACAGACUAGUAAUUGAAUUCAAAAAUUGAAGGAAAGACAAAGAUCAUGCAUGAUACUUCCCAAUUGAAUUCAACAAUAGAAAUUGGUGUGAGGGUUCUCAUUUAUAAAUCCCUCCAUUUUGUGAUAUACUAAUUUGAAUUUUGAAUCACAUCAUCCCUAUGAAGUUACAUGAACUAAACUAGACAGAAGAAAACCAAAUAUAGUUUUACAAGGACAAUCAACAUUACAUAGUAACCUUAAAAAUAAAAAAAUAAACCAGAUCGAGCUACACAAAACAAACAACAAAUAGCUCAAAAGAACAGCACAACCUUAGCCACAACAAACUAAAGCAAAACGCAAAAACCCAAGAAAGCUUCAAGUUCCAGAAAAACUGAAACAGAUCGAUUUCAUGCAUGAAUAUUCCAUGCAAACACUUUUACGUUCUUACACAAUAAUAUUCUCAACAAUGGACUGUCUAGCGAAGAUUGCAUUUGGCAGGAAGCUGCAUGGCAAGGUUGGGGUCGAUGCCAUAGGAAGUCAAAAGGUUUGAGUAGUUCUUGAAGAAGCAAAGGCACUGGAAGUCUGCGAUGGAAAGAGCCGAGCAACACAGAGCUGAGGGAGGAAGAGGGUUUAGCCCACUCACUGAUGGAGCACAAGCAUUCAAACCCCCUUUUGUCAUGCGGCAAAAAGUUACCUGGACCUGCUCAUUGGCCUCAGGCCCAAUGGCCAGUGCCAAAAACAAUGCCACAAUAACCACAAGCUUUUUGUAUGCUGCCAUGUCUAUGAUCUUUGAUCUAUUCUCUAGUUUCUUGGGGAGUGAAAGAUGGUUUGUGGCCAUGGCCUUACUCUUGCACCAUAAGAUAUACAUUUGUAAAUCUGGACCAUUGAUUAAGUUGGUUCUUGUCUAAAUGUCCGGCCCAAAUUUACAGUCUGACAAAAUAAAUAUUUGUGACAAUAUAAGUCUAAUGAGAAAAACAUUACCAAUCCGGCACUACAUCAUCAUUUUAUACUUUAGCUUAAUUAUCUUUGUCACAUGCAUCUUAAAACAAAACAUUAAAUAUAAAACUGAAAUCAUUUUGGACUUAAGUUUAUACCAAUAAAGAAAAUAUAAUUAGUGAUCAUAUUUCAUUAUGUUUCGCUAUUUUUGGAAUACAUGGGAAAUGUGAAUGGGGGCAUAUUCUACAUUGUUAAUUAGAACUCUCGUGACAGAGACUUGGCGUAUUGGCGUUACUGUGGGCUGUAAAAUCAAGGAGGCACAUUGGUGGUGACAAGAGAUUGGCGUUUUGUGGGAAGCAAGCAUUAUCCAAAUCAAUCAAUUGUUUCCUACGUUAUAUUUUAAAGGAAUGUACAACUUGUAUUGUAUAAGUGACCUGUGACCCUUCAAAGCCUUUUCUCACUGUCACUUUCAUUUUGAUUCGUUCAUACUUGAUGGGGAACUAGGUUGAAAAGUCAUUAAUUAACACGACUAGAUAGACAAAAAAUGGCUAGUAUUUAUAGAUGACAUUUGUGCGCCAAAAAACCUAACACGAAGGAAAACAAGUGUUGGAAAAGAAGAAAAAAAAUUUCAUCGUUAUCGGAUUAAUGGUUUGAUUUGGUAAGGAAUAUAAAUUAUUGUUUUGUAUUUUUACAAACUGGAUUAUAACAAAUAAAUUCGGUGAAAAUUUGGGUUGAAUAUCAUCACUCAACGCAUUAGUAAUCAUUGCCAAACCAACUUUAUAAUAAAAAUACUUUUGUUAGAAGCACUUAUAAGCAGAAGUGAUUCUUUAAAAAACAUUCUCAAACGAGUAAUUAAGAAUAUAUAUAUCUAUGAAUCUAUAAAUAAAUCAUCCAUGGUUUGCUAGACUUAAGUAAUUUUUGUGGUUAAUUUGUUAAUGUUUGUGAUCUGAAUUGUAAUGUUUUUCAUUCUCAGUUGAAUCACUUUAUUCUGUGCCUUCAAAUGGGGGGGACCAGCAAUACAAAUCGAUACUGACCAAUCCGCCGCCCAUUCCUUGAAAAAGGCCAAGAUCAUCACAUCACAGUUUAUAGCACAACAUGACUUGCCACUAAUGACACAAUCUGCAAGUCACAAUCAACGGAAACGAGUAAUUAUUAUUAGUUUAGGCCACAACACAAGACAUUUGAGUGAUUUUAUGGUGGGUGCUAUAUAUUUAAUGAAGCAUUAAUAAUAAUCAGUCAAGUUUGAGAAAGGAUAACAUGAAAAUGAUGACAUAUAUAUUGGACAUUCUCCUCUCUCAAAAUGAAGAAAACAAGUUACGCUACUUAUUGCUUCUCAUUGCUGAUAGUGCGAAAAAGGUAGAUUACUUGGUUAGUUCGAGAACCAAAUCUUUAUAUGUAGAUGAUCUCGCUACUUAUUGCUUCUCAUUGCGGUUUUGCUUAAAAGAAAAAGAAAGAAGAUAUAGUCACCCUCGUUUGGUUCGAGUUGUGUAGCUGUUGUUUUGGGUUUUGAGGUUCUUUCCCCCUGUUUCAUAAAUAAAUAAAUAAAUAAAUAAAGAAGAUAUAAGUAUAUAUAGAUUCUAGAGAAGAUUUGUACCUCAAAAGCAAUAUAGUCGGUCAUAUUGUUCACAUUGCCAUUACGUGGGUUACCAUUUUGAUGUGGACAAAACCUGACCACGUAUUUGCUGUAUUACAGCAUGGCCAACCAACCUUUUUAUUUUUAUUUUAUAUUUUAUAACAAAGUGAGAUAACUUCAUUUAAACAAUAAUGUCAGAGUACAAAAAAAAAGACUGGACUUUAGUAAUGUAACAAGUGUGGUCUCAUUAAAACCUUGCCUUUAAAAAUCCCCAAAUGGAGGAAAAUUCGGUUAAGGAAAAAAAGUACCACUACAUCACAUCUAGUAUAAAAUUAAAUUAAGAAAAUAAUUUAUCAUUGGCCAAAACAUCAUAAAUCCAUGAAGGACCAUCCUUAAACCAAACUUGAAAGUCCUAAGACAAGAGCACCUGCUUAGCUAAUAGAUGAGCAACCUGGUUACACUCCCGAUGAGCAAAGUGACAAGAAAUAUGAGCAAAAUGAUUAAAAAGACCCCUGACUUCAUCCACUAAAGCACCCUCCACUGACCAACUUUGCUCAUAAUUAAUAUUAACUCUCAAUCUUCUAUCUUCUAUCUUCUAGGAAGAAUUAUAAAAGGAAAAUUCUACCAAUAUAAAUUCCUUUUUUUUUUUUUUCCAUUUAGCUGAACUUAAGUGUGGGAGGAUCUACCACAUUUUUUGUUAUUUCCUAAUAAAACUUGUGUUAGAGUUUGUAAACCUCUACAGAAGUUAUCAAUUGGUAUUUGUUUAGCACUUUAUUUGAAAAGGCACCAAGUUCGAAUUCCAGUGGCGGAUCCAGAAAUUUUUUUAGCGGAGGUGCAAAAUUGAUUAAGUAUGAAAAAUGGUUUACGGAAUAAUCAUUUUCUCAAGAUAAUUUUUGGCGGCUUUUAUUCCUUACACAUCAAAUAAGAAAACUUGAUUUUAUGAGAUUUUAGUAUGAAGUAUAUAUUGACUUAAUGAGCCAUCAUUUUUAGUCUAAAUCGUAUUUUGCACUAAAACCGAUUUUUCAUAUUUUGAUUUGAUAGGAAUUUGGUUUUCUAGUAUUUUUAUUUGAAUCCAAAUGGGAGGUACUUCCUUAUUUACAUUGUAAACUUAAGUAAAUGGAGUAAUAUAAAAAUAAAUUAAAGUAAAAGGCGCCUUAAUGGAUCCGCCUUUGUCGAAUUCUACAUCCUUAUAAAUAAUAAAAAAGCUAAUCAUCCCACUAAAACUCAAGCAAUUUUGUCUUUUGAGGUAAAAAUAUCAAAUCUUCUACUUAUAUAUAUAUAUAUAUAUAUAUAUUUUCAUCUAUUCAAAAUUGUUGAAGUUUAACAAGGGUUUAAGUUCAAGGUGCAAACAUAGGCUUAGUCAAGUAGACUAGAAUAUAUGUGCUCUCUACUUUGCACUAGAGUUCGGAUCAUGCUUCUCGUAGUUUAGAUUAAAUUAAAGUAGAAUAUCGUUAGUAUAUAAAAAAUAAAAAAAAUAAAAAAAAGGGUUUAAGUUUAGAGUUUGAGAAUUUAUUUUAUUUUAAAAAAGAAAAUUUAAUCGAACCAAAAAUGAAAGCAAAAUUUCAUUUAUUUAACUUGUAAUUUUACUGUAGUGUGUCCUGGAAAAUGGGUGUGAACGCCAAGUGAGAGAAGAUGAUGAGAGUUUGAAUAAUUCUUUGCUAAGAAAAGCAACACACAACACAAGUUUUUCAAAACACAAAGCAAAAAUCACAAAAUAAAAACAAAAAGAGGCGGGAGAGCGUUACGAGGCACAUAGCGUAGCGUGGAAUCUUUUUGAAAUCUCCCACUGGCGGCAACCAGUAACUUAGCAACACGUGUUGCUAAGCCUUACGUGUCAGUUCCUGAAGCCAUGCCCUGACCACACACGGGAAAGCGGGCGGGUCGGAUCACGCGGUGCUCUCUUUUGCUUUCCUACUCGUCUACACAAAACAACCCUUCAUUUCAACAGUAAUUACGAAACUGCCAUUUAGUUUCAAAAUCUGUUAAAUUUCUAACUAACUAGCUUCUUACAUAAAUUACAAGAUGAACAUGACCUGAUACAUUUUGGUUCCCAAGUUACUAUUUGAGUUUCAGAUUCAUAUAAAUAGAUGAUAAGAGAGUGCUGCUAACUAUUUAGCAAUAUAAACCAACAUUCUCUUCAAGUUUGGAGUUCUCUUGGCUACCAAUUGUAGUUGCUUGCAUUACUUACCAAUUUGAAGAACAAAAAACAGGUACUUCUGUCUCUUAAACAUUACAACAAUUUCUAUAAAAUUUAGGAUAUAUAUAUGAGAAUUAUGUAGCCAUUGGACAUCAUUUGUUUUCUCCACAUCAGUAUUUCUUUUGUGGUUAAAAGUUUCACUCACUAAAAUUAAUUUUUAGAUCAACUGAUGAAUAAGAAUGAAGUCGUGAAUCGCAUAAGUUGUAAGAAUAUGAUGAGAUGAAUGAGAAUGAGAUCAACUACUCCCUCUAAUCAAUCUAAUUCCUGAUUUUUUAAGCACUGGAUUACGAAUUUUAUGUAGAACAUAAGUAAGUUUUUAUUCCUUAUAAUUAGACACACAAUGAAAGUCGAGAAUUAAAAAACUCAUGUAUCAUGUCAAAAAUAAUAUCUUGCAACCCUUUUCUUGAUGAAUAAAUUUUUCAAAUAAGAUUCGAAAAUAUUUUUGGAAAAGUUCAUGAAGCUCUCUAUAUAUCUCUCUUUUGGGUUACAAUUCUUGUUAUUCAGAAUCAUUCAGAACCCACAAAAAGAAGAGUGGAUAAUUAUGACAUUUGAAUUUGGUGGGGGAAUGGGGAUAUCUUCUGUGUUGUGAUACAGAGAGGGUAUUUUGGUAAUUUCACCAAGUGGGCCCUCAAACAGCUUUUACCCUCUGUAACAGUGCUGCAAAGCAUCUCAAAAUCUUCAAAGAAGUUACCUUUUGGUUGUUUUCCCAUUUGAAACACUUGACUUGUGUUGCACUGCGUUUGCUUGCCAUUAUUACUACCAAAACAAGACUUUGGUAUCAAGACUCUGCCACCCUUUUUAAUAAUUUCAUUCAUUUCUUGGUUUUGUCUUGUCGAAACAAAAUCAAAGGUGGUUCCUUCACCUUGGUAACUGUUGCUUUGCGCGUUAAAACUGUGGAAGAGAGCCACAAAACACAGAGACACACAGAAAUAUAAGGCCUGAAGGGUUUUCGGGAAGGCACAGAGAGAGAGAGAGAGAGAAGGGACAUUGCUUCCCGCGUUUUCCAUGCCUAUUUCACUCAUUUCUCUCAUUUCUCUCAUGCGUGCAAGUUAUUCCUAAAAUCUAAAAUCUAAAAUCUAAAACCCAACCCAUCUUAUUUUCUUGGCCAUUAAAACUUUUAAUUCUCUUUAAACUUUUCUUCAUUCCUCAUUCACAUUUCACCUCAUCUCUCUCUCUCUCCUUGAUUUGCUUCAGUUCCUUUUUUUAAUCAAAACCCAUCAUCUAUUUUAGCGAUUUUAUUUGUUUCUCUUCUCUAUUUGCUCUCAAAGGUUCGAACGUUCUCUUUGUCUUGUUCUGGUGUUCUUGUUCGUUCUGGCCGGCUAGGUCGGUUUGGAAAAAGCUUAGCAAUAAAGUUUGGUGCUUUCGAUGCUUUUACAUCAUGAUUUGUGAUGGUGAAGUCUUAGAAGUUGAUUUUCUUGUAUAAAAAGUUGGAAUUCAUUGGUUUUGGUCAAGUGGGGUUGGUUCAAAUCUGCAACUUCAUUAAUUAGUUUGGCAGCAAAUCUGGGAUUGAAGAUUCCAUUUUGGGGUGCAAUUAAUGGUUUUUGUUUGGAAAUUAGCUCCUGCUUGACAAAAAGCCCAUUUCUUGUCUUUGAGAAUCGUAAUUACAAGGGAAAGCAAUUUGGCCAAGCUCUGAACUUUGAUUUGUGGGUUUUUCUGUUUUCUCUUGUUUAGAUCUGAAUUGAAGCUAUGGGAAGCCAUAUGAGCAAGAAGAGCUCUGAAACAUCAUCCUCUGCUAUCAAUCUCAACACCAAUUUACAAUACACAACUGAUCAAUUAAGCUCAUAUGAGGCAGCCUGCAAGGUUGAUGCAGAAUUGCAAUCCUUUGAUACCAAUCUCCAAACCAGAACCAAUCAAGUCAUCAACACAAUUGCAGCAGGAGUUGAAGUUCGAGCUCUCUCAUUUGAUUCAUUGAAGGAAAUCACAGAAUGCCUGUUGGAGAUGAACCAGGAGGUUGUGAAAGUUAUCUUGGAGUGCAAGAAGGAUAUAUGGAAAAAUCAAGAAUUGUUUGAGCUUGUAGAGGAGUACUUUGAAAACAGCUUGCAGACUUUAGAUUUCUGUACUGCAUUGGAGAAGUGUUUGAAGCGAGCUCGUGAUAGCCAAUUGCUCAUUCUUGUUGCUCUUCAACAGUUUGAGGAGGAAACCGAAAUGGGAGGCAGUCGAUACACGAGGACUUUGGGCGAAUUGAAGAAUUUUAAGGCUAUAGGUGAUCCUUUUACUGAAGAGUUCUUCCAAAUUUUUCAAUCUGUUUACAGGCAACAAAUACAAAUGCUUGAGAAGUUGCAACUAAGAAAGAACAAGCUCGAUAAGAAGCUCAAAUACAUCCACGCCUGGAGGAAGGUUUCGAGUAUUAUAUUUGUUGCUACAUUUGCUGCUGUGUUGAUUUGUUCUGUUGUGGCAGCAGCCAUGGCUGCUCCACCUGUUGCAGCAGCUCUGGCUGCUGCUAGUUCUAUCCCUGUAGGCUCAAUGGGGAAGUGGAUUGACUCUUUGUGGAAAAACUAUGAAAAUGCUUUGAGGGGUCAAAAGGAAGUAAUUAGCUCCAUGCAAGUAGGGACUUACGUUGCCAUAAAGGACUUGGACAACAUUCGGGUUCUUAUCGAUCGAUUGGAAGUUGAAAUUGAGUCCCUCUUGCAUAAUGCAAGCUUUGCCAUUGAGGAGGAUGCAGUUACAGUUGCAAUUGAGGAGAUUAAAAAGAAGUUGGGAGUGUUUAUGAAGAAUGUAGAGGAUUUGGGAGCUCAAGCUGAUACCUGCAGCCGUGACAUUCGAAGAGCAAGGACUGUGGUUCUGCAGAGGAUCAUAAAACAUUCCAACAACUAGAAGACCGAUGAUCCUCAAUAUUUAACCUGUUGCUGUUUUGAUGCUUGAUGACAUUUGAAUUUGUGUAACUUUCUGUUUUUUUAAUUAUAAUUAUCAUAUUUUUUCAUUCUUAGAUUGUACCUUGGAAUCCCAGACGAUUGGAUUGAUGUAUAAAAGAAAUAAUGUAAGAUUAUAUAGCGUUUCACACUUUAUCAAUGUUUAGGCAAGAACUGACUUGAAGUAGUUCCCAUUAUGAUUUUGUCUUCAAUUCAAUCAUUAUUUACUUGAUCUGAUGAAGUUUGGCUGGUCUGGUCUUUUGUUCCAAACAACCAUUGGAGUUUCUCUGGUCUAUUGUUCCAUAAACUUCCAUACCAGUGUGACCUCAUGUAUUUCAGAAUGUGGUGCCUGGAAGAUUAGAAGAAAUUGCCACUCAGAGGUCUCUUUUCAUGUUGAUUGCUCAUAUAGCCAUCUUUCUUCUGCUUAAAUCAUGCUUAAUUGUUACAAGUUGAGACUUGAAACUUCCAAGUUCCAAUAUGGGGCUUUUCUGAGUCACGUGAGCGAGAGGUUAUGCGUUCUCCUUUUAUGGUUGGUUUUCCAAGUGCCUGUAUAACUAAACUAACUGUAUGUAGUUCUUUUGUAUCCAUGACUUUUUUCAGGUAAUGAGGGAAACCCUCACGACUCAUUCAUUCCCGCCCAAAAACUUGCAAAUCACAUGUAUCAGGUAAAUUUAAGUAUUUUUACAUGGUCAAGUUCAAGGCAAAUAUAAUCUGUUUGAGUUUACGGUCCAAUGCUCACCUCUCUAAGCUACUUGUAUGGGUUUGUAUGCUCUCUAAGCUACCAAGUUAUUAUGUUAUUUUCUUUUCCCUGCAUACUUUUCUAUACAUAUAACCACAAUGAGUGCUCUAUAGAAUUCUCUUGUCCUAAUCUUAAUUGAUAGUUAACUACUCUUACCUCAGCAAAUAUUUAUAAUCUGUAAGUAAGAAAUCAGUUUAACAACAAUCCCUGCUAUAAAGAAUUCUCAUGUCCAAAUCAUGAUGGUGACUACUUAACCUCAGCCAAUAAUUAUAAUUAAUCUGUAAUUCAGAAAUAAGUUUACCAGAAAACCAUUAAUGAACAUAUGAGAAACUUGCACAUGUGAAGUGCAUAUAUUUUAAAAUUGCAUAUUCCUGACUUCUGAACAUAUGAUGUUGUAAUCUAGAACAAAAAUGAAAAUAAAAGAGGGGAACCUGUCAGACAACCCUGCCACCAUCCGAGCAAGAGAAGAGUGGCUGAGAACGAUCCUCUACUAACUGGAUGAUCCAAGGACCAUUAGAUUAUUGAUCAUGCCCUGAUCACACGGUCCUGUUUUGCUGGCUUAGAUCUAUAUUGAAGCUAUGGAAGGCCAUAUGAGCAAGAAGAGCCCUGAAACAUCUUCUGCUAUCAAUCUCGGUACCAAUUUAAAAGACAUAACUGAUCAAUUGGGCUCAGGUGAGGCAGCUUUCAAGAUUGAUUCAGGCUUGCAUUCCUUUGAUACCAAUCAUCAUAGCUACUGCAGGAGGUUCAAGCUCCCUCACUUCGUUCCUUGAAGGAAGCCAUAAAAUGUCUAUUGGAGAUGAAUCAGGAGGUUGUGAAAACUUGUCUUGGAAUGCAAGAAAGACGUAUGAAAAAAAUCAGGAAUUGUUUGAGCUUGUUGAAAAGUACCUAGAAAACAGCUAGCGGACCUUAGAUUCCUGUACUGCACUGGAGAAAUGUUUGAAGCGAGCUCGUGCCAGCCAAUCGUUCAUUCUUGUUUCUCUUCAACAAUUUGUGGAGGAAACCGAAAUAGGAGGCAAUCGAUACUCGAGGACUUUGGAGGAAUUGAACAAGUUCAAGGAAAUAGGUGAUCCUUUUACUAAAGAGUACUUCCAAAUUUUUCAAUCUGUUUACAUGCAACAAACACUAAUGCUUGAGAAGUUGAAACUUCCGAAGAACAAGCUUGAUAAGAAGCUCAAAAGCAUCCAUGCUUGGAGAAAGGUCUCUACUAUGAUAUUUGUGGCUAUAAUUGCUGCUGUGUGGAUUUGUUCAGCUGUUGCAGCAGCCAUGGCAGGUCCACCUGUUGCAGCUGCUCUGGCUGCAGUCUAUCCCUGUAGCCUCAAUGGGGAAGUGGAUUGACUCUUUUUUGAAAAACUAAGAAAAUGCUGUGAAAGGUUUGCAAUAGAGGAGAUUAAAAAGAAGUUGCCUCAACAUUGAACAAAACAUAAAAAGAGGGGAAACCUGUCAGACAACCGUGUGACCACCACCAGCCAAUCGUUCAUUCUUGUUUCUCUUCAACAAUUUGUGGAGGAAACCGAAAUAGGAGGCAAUCGAUACUCGAGGACUUUGGAGGAAUUGAACAAGUUCAAGGAAAUAGGUGAUCCUUUUACUAAAGAGUACUUCCAAAUUUUUCAAUCUGUUUACAUGCAACAAACACUAAUGCUUGAGAAGUUGAAACUUCCGAAGAACAAGCUUGAUAAGAAGCUCAAAAGCAUCCAUGCUUGGAGAAAGGUCUCUACUAUGAUAUUUGUGGCUAUAAUUGCUGCUGUGUGGAUUUGUUCAGCUGUUGCAGCAGCCAUGGCAGGUCCACCUGUUGCAGCUGCUCUGGCUGCAGUCUAUCCCUGUAGCCUCAAUGGGGAAGUGGAUUGACUCUUUUUUGAAAAACUAAGAAAAUGCUGUGAAAGGUUUGCAAUAGAGGAGAUUAAAAAGAAGUUGCCUCAACAUUGAACAAAACAUAAGAAGAGGGGAAACCUGUCAGACAACCGUGUGACCACCCCAGACAGAGAGGACUGACUGAGAACGAUCCUCUACGGUCGUGAUGAUCACAAGGACCACCAGACUGUUAAUCACGCUCUGAUCACACGGUCAUGAUUCAUCCACCAGGUUGGGAUUCCUGUCUCCUUAGAAAUCAAGGAUACAGAGGUACGAUUACUAUAGAACAGAUCCUGUCCAAGUAAGGUCGUGACCUCUCAGCGGUCUUCUGGGCAUAUGAAGCGCUUCGGAUUUUCGUAAAAUGCCGAUGUGGGACUAAUAACGAGACUUCUGUCCCUUUGAUCUCCCUGGUCUUCUGUUCAAUUUUUUAAUGGUUGGGCCCCGGAAAAGUGGCUGAGAACGAUCCUCUACUAACUGGAAGAUCCAAGGACCAUUAGAUUAUUAAUCAUGGCCUGAUCACACGGUCCUGUUUUUGCUGGCUUAGAUCUAUAUUGAAGCUAUGGAAGGCCAUAUGAGCAAGAAGAGCCCUGAAACAUAAGUUGCCAUUAAGGACUUGGACAACAUUUCGUGUUCAUAUUGACUGGUUGAAAGUUGACAUUGAGUCCCUCUUGCACAGUGUUAGCUUUGCCAUUGAGGAAGAAAGUGAAGGUAUGCACUAGAGGAGAUUAAAAAGAAGUUGGUAGUGGAUAUGAAGAAUGUAGAGGAUUUGGGAGCUCAAGCUGAUACCUGCAGCGGUGAUAUUCGAAGAGCAAGAACUGUGUUUCUGCAAUGAUAAAAAAACAAAGUGAAAAAAAGAAGGGGAACCUGUCAGACAACCGUGUGACCACCCCAGACAGAAGAUUGACUGAGAACGAUCCUCUACGGUCAUGAUGAUCACAAGGAUCACCAGAUUGUUAAUGUUAGCUUUGCCAUUGAGGAAGAAAGUGAAGGUAUGCACUAGAGGAGAUUAAAAAGAAGUUGGUAGUGGAUAUGAAGAAUGUAGAGGAUUUGGGAGCUCAAGCUGAUACCUGCAGCGGUGAUAUUCGAAGAGCAAGAACUGUGUUUCUGCAAUGAUAAAAAAACAAAGUGAAAAAAAGAAGGGGAACCUGUCAGACAACCGUGUGACCACCCCAGACAGAAGAUUGACUGAGAACGAUCCUCUACGGUCAUGAUGAUCACAAGGAUCACCAGAUUGUUAAUCACGCUCUGAUCACACGGUCAUGGUUCAUCCACCAGGUUGGGAUUCCUGUCUCCUUAGAAAUCAAGGAUACAGAGGUACGAUUACUAUAGAACAGAUCCUGUCCAAGUAAGGUCGUGACCUCUCGGCCAUGCUCAAGCUAUAUAAAGCGCUUUGUUGCUCUCUAAAUUGUCGAUGUGGGAUAAAAAAGGACUUUGUGUCUCUCUCUUUUAACGCGUGCAAGAAAG
Molecule: long non-coding RNA, 29730 nt
Filed under: Prunus persica (peach)
Lineage: Eukaryota; Viridiplantae; Streptophyta; Magnoliopsida; Rosales; Rosaceae
Description: long non-coding RNA (PPER_LNC008307)
Source: RNAcentral